This 449-nucleotide long non-coding RNA is filed under the name Pongo abelii (Sumatran orangutan). RNAcentral describes it as "lincRNA". Lineage: Eukaryota; Metazoa; Chordata; Mammalia; Primates; Hominidae. The record is from RNAcentral.
UGCUACCAGAACUGACUCGCUUCGAAGUGACGGAUGAAACCCAUAUGGAGAUAUUCCUGGGGUGGUUAGGCCAGUUGGAAGACAGAGUGCUUACACCUGAGAGAGGACUUGAGAAUUUUACUCAGAGUCACGUUGCUCACUGCUGUGCACUCCUGCAGGCACAUCCCAGUGGACUCUGCGCUGCAUCCCCAAAGUACAGCGUGUUUCCCGCCUCCCAUUAGAGAUCCAAUACAUAUUUUUUUGAAAGAAGAAACUGAUGGAAGAGAGGAAGCAAAAAGGAGAGGAAGGAAAGGGAUAGGAAGGAGGGGAAGAAAGGGACAGGAAGGAGGAAAAGGAAAGGGAAAGGAAGGAAAAGAAAGGAAAGGGAACUUGAAAUCCUACAAGGUCUCAAAGUCAAAUAACAUGUAAGUCAAUUAUCACAGAAAAUAAAAUAACUGCUACAAGAGCAA